RNAcentral lists this small RNA (148 nucleotides) under Pongo abelii (Sumatran orangutan). Its description in RNAcentral is "Metazoan signal recognition particle RNA (ENSPPYG00000037894.1)". Lineage: Eukaryota; Metazoa; Chordata; Mammalia; Primates; Hominidae. The record is from Rfam by way of RNAcentral.
GCUGGGUGUGGUGGUGGGCACCUGUAAUCCCAGCUACUCAGGAGGCUGAGGCAGAAGAAUCGCUUGAACCUGGGAGGCAGGGGUUGCAGUGAGCCGAGAUCGUGACACUGCACUCCAGCCUAGGUGACAGAGUGAGACUUGGUCUCAA